This 370-nucleotide ribosomal RNA is filed under the name uncultured organism. RNAcentral describes it as "bacterial SSU rRNA". It matches the Rfam family "Bacterial small subunit ribosomal RNA", at positions 526 to 896 of the family's 1533-position model. The record is from RNAcentral.
CGGAGGGGGCGAGCGUUGUUCGGAUUUACUGGGCGUAAAGCGUGCGUAGGUGGCUUCCCAAGUAAGAAGUGAAAGCCCAGGGCUUAACCCUGGAAUUGCUUUUUAAACUGGGUCGCUAGAAUUUAGGAGAGGCAGAUGGAAUUCCGAGUGUAGAGGUGAAAUUCGUAGAUAUUCGGAGGAACACCAAUGGCGUAAGCAGUCUGCUGGACUAACAUUGACACUGAGGCACGAAAGCGUGGGGAGCAAACAGGAUUAGAUACCCUGGUAGUCCACGCCGUAAACGAUGUGUGCUAGUUAUCGGGCAAUUUAUUGUUCGGUGACGCCGCUAACGCAUUAAGCACACCGCCUGGGGAGUACGGUCGCAAGAUUA